RNAcentral lists this ribosomal RNA (737 nucleotides) under uncultured bacterium. RNAcentral describes it as "bacterial SSU rRNA". It matches the Rfam family "Bacterial small subunit ribosomal RNA", at positions 9 to 753 of the family's 1533-position model. The record is from RNAcentral.
GAGUUUGAACCUGGCUCAGGACGAACGCUGGCGGCGCGCCUAACACAUGCAAGUCGAACGGGGUUAUAGGAACAGCUUGCUGGGAAUAUAACUUAGUGGCGGACGGGUGAGUAACACGUGAGCAACCUGCCUUUCAGAGGGGAAUAACGUUUGGAAACGAACGCUAAUACCGCAUAACAUUGGGAUAUGGCAUCAUGACCCAAUCAAAGAUUUAUCGCUGAAAGAUGGGCUCGCGCCCGAUUAGGUAGUUGGUGAGAUAAUAGCCCACCAAGCCGACGAUCGGUAGCCGGACUGAGAGGUUGAACGGCCACAUUGGGACUGAGACACGGCCCAGACUCCUACGGGAGGCAGCAGUGGGGGAUAUUGCACAAUGGGGGGAACCCUGAUGCAGCGACGCCGCGUGAGGGAAGACGGUUUUCGGAUUGUAAACCUCUGUCUUUAGGGACGAAACAAAUGACGGUACCUAAAGAGGAAGCCACGGCUAACUACGUGCCAGCAGCCGCGGUAAUACGUAGGUGGCAAGCGUUGUCCGGAAUUACUGGGUGUAAAGGGAGCGUAGGCGGGAAUGCAAGUUGAAUGUUUAAACUAUGGGCUCAACCCAUAGUCGCGUUCAAAACUGCAUUUCUUGAGUGGAGUAGAGGCAGGCGGAAUUCCUAGUGUAGCGGUGAAAUGCGUAGAUAUUAGGAGGAACACCAGUGGCGAAGGCGGCCUGCUGGGCUCUAACUGACGCUGAGGCU